AUCUGAAAUACAGAGGCAUUGUUUAACAUUUUUCUUAUACUGUAGAUUUUCAAGUGGCUCACAUAUUUCAUAUUGCCAAUAAAUUCUUCAGUUAGAAUUUUUAUAACGGCAUUAACAGUUGUUAUUUGUGACGUAUUUGUUACUUUUUUUUCAUUUUUUAGAUUGAAAAGAUAUGAAUGAGUAUCCUAAAAAAAGAAAAAGGAAGACUCUACACCCGUCUCGUUAUUCAGAUUCCUCUGGAAUAAGCAGAAUUGCAGAUGGAUUCAAUGGAAUUUUCUCUGAUCAUUGUUACAGUGUCUGUUCUAUGAGACAGCCAGAUUUAAAAUAUUUUGACAACAAAGAUGAUGAUUCUGAUACCGAGACAUCAAAUGACUUGCCAAAAUUUGCAGAUGGAAUCAAGGCCAGAAACAGAAAUCAGAACUACCUGGUUCCCAGUCCUGUACUUAGAAUUCUAGACCACACUGCCUUUUCUGCAG
This 476-nucleotide small RNA is filed under the name Pongo abelii (Sumatran orangutan). RNAcentral's name for it is "retained intron". The record is from RNAcentral. Lineage: Eukaryota; Metazoa; Chordata; Mammalia; Primates; Hominidae.